AUUGAACGCUGGCGGAAUGCUUUACACAUGCAAGUCGAACGGCAGCACGGGGGCAGCCCUGGUGGCGAGUGGCGAACGGGUGAGUAAUACAUCGGAACGUGCCCGGUCGUGGGGGAUAACGUAGCGAAAGUUACGCUAAUACCGCAUACGAUCUGAGGAUGAAAGCGGGGGAUCUUCGGGUCUCGCGCUUUCGGCUCCCCCUAUGUCAUAUUAGGUAGUUGGUGGGGUAAAGGCCUACCAAGCCGACGAUCUGUAGCUGGUCUGAGAGGACGACCAGCCACACUGGGACUGAGACACGGCCCAGACUCCUACGGGAGGCAGCAGUGGGGAAUUUUGGACAAUGGGCGCAAGCCUGAUCCAGCCAUUCCGCGUGCAGGACGAAGGCCUUCGGGUUGUAAACUGCUUUUGUAAGGAACGAAAAGGCGCUGGCUAAUACCUGGGGCUCAUGACGGUACCGUAAGAAUAAGCACCGGCUAACUACGUG
RNAcentral lists this ribosomal RNA (484 nucleotides) under uncultured bacterium. RNAcentral describes it as "partial 16S ribosomal RNA". It matches the Rfam family "Bacterial small subunit ribosomal RNA", at positions 30 to 507 of the family's 1533-position model. The record is from RNAcentral.